CCUACGGGAGGCAGCAGUGGGGAAUUUUCCGCAAUGGGCGAAAGCCUGACGGAGCAACGCCGCGUGAGGGAUGAAGGCCACUGGGCUGUAAACCUCUUUUAUCAAGGAAGAAGAUCUGACGGUACUUGAUGAAUAAGCCACGGCUAAUUCCGUGCCAGCAGCCGCGGUAAUACGGGAGUGGCAAGCGUUAUCCGGAAUUAUUGGGCGUAAAGCGUCCGCAGGCGGUCUUGUAAGUCUGUCGUUAAAGCGUGGAGCUCAACUCCAUUUCGGCGGUGGAAACUACAAGACUAGAGUGUGGUAGGGGCAGAGGGAAUUCCCGGUGUAGCGGUGAAAUGCGUAGAUAUCGGGAAGAACACCAGUGGCGAAGGCGCUCUGCUGGGCCAUAACUGACGCUCAUGGACGAAAGCUAGGGGAGCGAAAGGGAUUAGAUACCCCUGUAGUCCUAGCCGUAAACGAUGAACACUAGGUGUCGGGGGAAUCGACCCCCGUCGGUGUCGUAGCUAACGCGUUAAGUGUUCCGCCUGGGGNGUACGCACGCAGUGUGUAACGUAAAGUAGUAGUAGACGGCGUGUAAGUAGUAGUUCGAACGACGACGACGAGGGAGGAGG
Molecule: ribosomal RNA, 608 nt
Filed under: uncultured bacterium
Lineage: Bacteria
Description: bacterial SSU rRNA
Rfam family: Bacterial small subunit ribosomal RNA
Source: RNAcentral